CAGCCGUUCCCGUGUAGGGAUUAUUAGCCACCCACUACGCGCCCGCCCCGUGCUCGACGUGCAUUCCUCAGCCCCCGCGCCCCCUCCGCUCUCUCCUCCCCCUCCUCGUCCCUGUCCCAACCCUAAUCCUUUUCCCUCUCCACCCCGCAGCCGCCCCCUAGCUCCUCGUCCCCUUCACUCAGUCCAUCCCUCCUCAUCCCAGAUCCAGCGGAUCCGAGGCGUGCAGACACGGAGGCGAGUUUCUCUGGCGCCGGUGGCAACCUGCAAGCAAAGGGCGGCGGCGGCGCUCGAUUUGAUCUGCAGGAGAGAGAGAGAUGGAGAGGAGGGACGCCACCAUGGGAGAACAGGGCCAACUUCGUGGUGGGCAUGGAGGCGCAGAGGAGGAUGGCGAUGGGGGAUGGGAGCAGAGUAGCAGGACUUCCAGGCGGUGCUCGCGUCAUGGUGGAGUGGAGGAGCUCGUCGUCCAUCAUCACAAUCCACAAUCUAGAUCUGAGAUAGAAAAGAAGAGAAAGAAUCUUGUGGAAUUUCAGAUCUGAGAUAGGAACGGGGAGAAAGAAUCUUGUGAAAGAGCCUGACGAAAAAGAAAGGGGUGAAUCACCACUUUCUCCCAUUCAUGUUUGUUUCUGCAUUUUAUUUUUAAGAUGCAGGUUGGCCAACUGUAACAAUAGAAAUAUAUGUGCAAUUUUUGUUUGUGUACUUCAAUAAAAAUAUAUUUUCACUUGACCUCGAGGGCGGUUGCAUCCAGUUAUUGUUUCCGGGAGAUUUAUUGGUGAAGGUCUAAAUAUUUUAAGAUAUAUUGACGAGAUAUCACUCAUGAAGGAAUGCUCAAGGGCAUAAGAUCUAAUGUUCUUCAUGUUAUACAGUCAUCUGGUAUAAAUUGCUAGAGUAGAUAAGAAACAGAUUUCCAACAUAAUAAACAGCUCACAUUCCUUGGUAUUGGCAUAUGGUUCUGAAACUUAAUAUGCACAAUAGAGUAUGUAUUGCAGUCUGGAUUAUAUCAAAGUUUGGUUCAAAAUGAACAAACAUCAGCAUUGUAUCCGUACUGGAUGCAAGUGAUUUGAAUUUUUUCAGUCAGUUAACAAGCAGUUUUCCAAUUAACAAAACGACAGUGUAGAAGCUCUUUUACUAAUGAGAUACAUAAGGUGCAUAAUACUGGUUCAAACAGCAGCAGUUUUUCAACCAGUUAACAAACAGUAGAAGUUUUACUACUGAGAUAAGCACCAGUUUUUCAGUGUACAAACAACAGCAGUUUUACUACUGAGAUAAGCAGCAAUUUUUCAGUCAGCUAACAAGCAACAGUUUUGCAGUAACAUCUUUCAUGUAUACUUCCAAUGCAUAAACAUGAGCAGAGAUACGCUACAGUUUAGGCAAAGAAUGAAUCAAAAAAUUGCAGAGAAGCAGCAAAAUAAGUUCCUUCUUUGAGAGAAUGCAAAUCAGAUAUGUUUGUUUCAGGGUUCAGACUUCAAGAUAACUAAAAUGCAUCCCCUAACUUUUUUUUAGGCAAGAUCCAGUUUCAUUUCUUAUAUUUGUGCUUCUUCAUUGAGUGAUCUCCAACUUUCUAUUGUUUACAAAUUCCAAAUAGAGCUCCUGGUUUGCUGUGUUGAUUGGUACCAUACAUAAGUUGAACUUUGUUUUCAAAUGGAAGGACCUAAUAAUCUACUUCUUAUAUUAUGGGACGGAGUAGUAACAUGUAUGUGUGGCGGCACAAGGAGCAUUUCCUUCUGAAAAAAUAAUAUUAAAGAUAAGUCAAUGACACAAAGUACUGAAUAAAUCAAUACUUCUAAUGAUCUAUAUGAUACAUACUUUCCAUGUUACCUCUACUAUAUAGUUUUACAGUACAAUGUCACAUUUCUGAUCUGUAGUGUACCUCAGUUACUAGCAUGAUAUAAAGUUUAUGGAUAAUUGCCAACAGAGUUCUCAUAUGUUUCUAUGUAUCUGAAUGUUCACAUUCAUCAAGUUUAAGCUUUAUGUAUAGCUUAUGUCUUUGAAGUUAAGCAGUCACACAGUCGUAGGUCCACCGUUUCAUGAUUUUUAAUUUGCUAACUGGGUAAAAGAUUCCUUGUCCUUGGUGAGAUACAUGAAUUCACAUUGUUUCGUACCAGAUGUAUGAAGAACAAAGAUAUCUUUCUUUAUCUUUAUUUUCCUCGACUACAUAUUAUUUAACCGUGUCAUGUUUAUAACCUACUUGACAUCGAUACGGUUCUAUGAGAGGUCAUUGCUUAUGCAUCAGUCCUCAAGGUGGAUGUUGUUCAUUUAGAUAUUACAUUUUGUUGCCAUGUUUCCACAUUAGUCAAAAGUGUUCAUCUCAAUAAUUUAUUAAGAGUGGCUUCGAAUAAUAUGGCAUCAAAACGUUUGUUUUCUCUCCAACCAAUAAUGAAAUGAUAUCUGUGCAUAUAAAACGGCUACCAAUUCUUGGUUUUUAUUAGCUUCUUGAAAAAGGGGCGCAACAGGUCAAUGGACUAUUGUAUUGCUGAUGAUAAUGUUGUUUCGUGUAGAAAGGAAUUUUCUCCUUGCUUUCAUAUGUCGAUAUCAACUCACUGCUUGAUUCAGGUGCUUUUUCGUGUAGAUAGGGUGACAGGAAUAUUCCUGUUAUAUAUUUACCAGUUAGCACAUGUAAUCUGGUACUCUGAUUUCUUUGACACUUUUCUCUUCACGAUGUAGUCAAGGCAAAAGGCAUUAGGAGACCUCCAAUCUGCAGAAUGGCAUGAUUGCUCUCUUCCCCCUUCGGCCCUUUGUGUGGUGAUUUUGCUGCACCUGUGACGAGGAACAAGCAAAUUCUCGCAAGCACACUUCAGCUCCGAAUGAAACCUGACGCACGAUCCGCUAGUCAACAGUGAGGAGACUGAAAGAAGUAGCAUCAGAGAGGAAGGUAAGUCCAGAGGCACUGAUGUCUUAAAUCACACCGUUUUGAAACAAACCGACGAUCAUUACCAAGCUUUCUUCAAGGAAAAAGAACCAGGACAAGACCGAUAUUGAUGGAGCGUUUUUGACCAUAAGUUGUUUCUCUAGUUUAAAUACUGAUGACAGCCAGUCUCCCUGCUUCUUGCCCCAUUUUGUUUGGUGAUGUGUAUCUAAUGUGUACGACAUUCGUAAGAUCAGCUCCCCCUUUUAGCAAGUUACUAGAAGCCGAGAACGGCUGUAGUGCUCAGAUUGUUCUUGUUCUGAGUUGGAGAAGCUAGAGGCACCAAGCAAAAAUGUGGGUCACUCUUUUCGGUGGCAAACAACGUUGCCAGUGAGCAAUAAUUUUUGAAGGGAAGGAACCACAUUUGAGUAUCCCGUUGAUAAAUUUGCAAUUAAGCUAGCGUCUGGCUGGCUGCUGGUGGAAGGCUUGCGAUUCUAAAGAAUCUUUGAUGCAAUGUUGUUUGCCCUGACUGUUCGCUUCCCUGACUUAGCCAACGGCUGAAAUAAAAGACAUUUCAUUUCCAAGUAAUAUUGAAGUUUAGAGACAUUUCAUUUCGUAGCUUGUACUGUUGCUUCAGUGAUAAGAUGUCAUUGGUUCAUUACACAUGAGUGCCUGACAGCCUGAAGCCUCUGCUACCCCCUGCAGUGUUGGUAAUA
Triticum dicoccoides is the source of this 3558-nucleotide long non-coding RNA. RefSeq lists it as uncharacterized. The transcript has 3 exons. The record is from RefSeq and is a predicted model, not a curated record. Lineage: Eukaryota; Viridiplantae; Streptophyta; Magnoliopsida; Poales; Poaceae.